UCAUAUCCAAAAAUAUUUGCUUGAGAGAGGUGGGGUGCAUUCCCUCUUUCUUUCUGUAGGCAGGAAGAAGAGUGGAAACAUUAUUUAAUUCUCAUUGUCCUCUUUGCCUCCAUUUUUAGGACAUUUGUGGACUUUCAUCUCCUGUAGUGACAACCUGAUACCUCCAAUCAUACAGUACAUGAAAGAAGGUACAACUCAUGGACAUAUGUGGGAGAAGGUGUCACCUAUUGGUAAUGAUCCAUGGAGUCUGCUGUGCUCAGAAUUAUAGCCUGGUUUAUGGUCUCGUCAAAUCAGAGAAUCACAGAAUGGUUGAGGUAAGAAGGGACUCUGGAGGUCAUCUGGUCUAACCCUCCUGCUCAAGCAGUGACACCUACAGUUAUCUCCAGCAGAGAUCCUGGAAGUGCACUGAAUGACAGUGAGGACAAUGAAGGGCCUGAUGAAGAGCCAACAGCUGUGUGAGCAAUUCUAUUUCUACCCAGGGCACCUGGAGGCUUCAGGAGCCCAAACAGCUGCCUGCUGCUUUGAGUCACUAGGAGCAAGCUAACACACUAAGAAGGAGCCCUGCUGUUGCUUCAUUACUGUCUGAUUAGAGCAAUUACAUUGGACAAAACAACUAAGGAGCAUUUUAGAGAUCUAAACAUAUGUGGAUAGUGCCAUAUUAAAUGCCCUAAGGCAUCCUCCAGUGCCCUGACUGCAGUUGGAGAGUGAGGAAAGUCUCAGAUAUUUUAAGGACUUUUAAAAUUGCCUAUGCUUAAACACCUCAUUUGAUCUCUUUUCUCAAAGUUAAAUGAGCCCUGCUCUCAGCUCUGAUUUACCUCAGGAAUUUAAUUGCUCUCCACUCCCCAUACAGAGAGAACUGGAGAGAGAUACUCAGUUUACCUAAAAUCUGAUCCCCCACACUGGAGAUGUCUAUGCAGUGCUGAAGUUGAGCGUAAAUGCUGGUUGAUGACAUUUAUUACUCAGAUUACAAGUAUACUUAGUGAUUAUCCUAUUUUUCACAGUCUACCCAAAUAGAAAACCGGCAAACCUUAAUCUCCUCCAUUAUUUUUUUUUUUGGUGUUUUGUUUUGUGUUUGUUUGUAUUUUUUUUUCCUUCUCUUAAAUAAGCAGACAAAAUUACCAGCUCUUCAGCAUGCUUCUCCAGCUUGGGCUCAUUUUUAUCCACAGUGGAAGUCCACUGCCUCCAUUAAAGCUCUAAAUUUCAUGGCACUUAAAUCUGAGCCUCACUGCUCCAGGGGAGGUAGCUCUCACAUUUUUAAAACCAGAAUCUUGACUCCGUGCUGGAAGAGGCUGCAAUCUUGUUGAUUUUCAGUAGCGUGUAUGUUACUUGGUGAAAGAGAUGAAGUCAAAGCGUCCAUCCUACAUUUCUCCAUCCUUCGUUAUAACCAGGUUUCAAGUCCAGCUGGCUUACUUUGGUAUCCCCGGAAUUCGCCUUAAUCAAACACGACAAGUAUGAAAUGUAGCACAUUAGAGAGCAGUUUCACCUUCUGAGACGAGACAUUGCCCAAACUUUACUACACCAGAAAGUUCCCUACCUAGGAUCACGUGGAGCUGCAGUAAUACUGCCGGUAUAGCCGAGAGGUCAAACACCCUUCGAGCAGACGUCUGGGAGUGAGGACAGUCAGGCUCAGGUCUCUGCCCAGGACAAGCCAGUUCAGCUCUGUGGUUCACCUUACUGUACUGUAGGGUACUACUUCAAAACCAGGUAUCCUUGAGACUUAAUUUCAGAUAAACUUAUCAUGAAAAAUUCCACUGGUUGAUAAAAUUUAUCACUUUACUUGAAUCUUAUUUCUUUUAAGCUCUCUUACAACAACAAUAAACAAAUAACUUCAAAAGUA
This is a long non-coding RNA of Anas platyrhynchos (mallard), 1837 nucleotides long. RefSeq lists it as uncharacterized. The record is from RefSeq and is a predicted model, not a curated record. Lineage: Eukaryota; Metazoa; Chordata; Aves; Anseriformes; Anatidae.